This 860-nucleotide ribosomal RNA is filed under the name Anzia flavotenuis. Its description in RNAcentral is "SSU rRNA". It matches the Rfam family "Bacterial small subunit ribosomal RNA", at positions 369 to 1190 of the family's 1533-position model. Lineage: Eukaryota; Fungi; Ascomycota; Lecanoromycetes; Lecanorales; Parmeliaceae. The record is from RNAcentral.
AAAUAGCCUAACGGCUGAACCAGCAACUUGGAGGAAUGUAUAGCGAAUAGCUACUUGUAUCAUUACAGAUAUGAUGCAGGAUUGACCAAGUCGAAUAAAAUUCUAGGUAGAAUUAUGAUGAUGACAUUGUCUGCCUAUGUGUCUUGACCAAACUACGUGCCAGCAGUCGCGGUAAUACGUAAUAGACUAGUGUUAUUCAUGUUUAAUCGGUUUAAAGGGUACCUAGACGGUAGAUCAAGCCUGCGAAUAAAAUUCGACAAACCAAGGGACUAAUUUACUAGAGUUACUUCUGAGGGGGUAUUAAAGUACUAGUGGUGUAGAGAUGAUAUUCUUUCAUACCUAUUUUCAAUAGAAAAGGCACGGCACAGGUAUAGGCGAAGGCAUCCCCUUAUGUGAUAACUGACGUUGAGGGACGAAGGCUUUGUAUCGCCAAAAGGAUUAGGUACCCUCGUAGUCAAAGGAGAAAAUGAUGAAUGUCAUAGAUUAGAUAUAUAAGUUUAUUCUAUAAAUGAAAGUGUAAGCAUUCCACCUCAAGAGUAAUUUGGCAACAUUGGAACUGAAAUCAUUAGACCGUUUCUGAAACCAGUAAUGAAGUAUGUUAUUUAAUUUGAUGACCCGCAAAACACCUUACCACAAUUUGAAUAUUUAUGUUAUUUGUUGUUUUCUUAUUCAUUUUAUUUUAAAAAAAAAUAAAAUGAAUAAAAGGCAAUAAGAUAUAUUUACAAGCGUUGCACGGCUGUCUUCAGUUAGUGUCGUGAGACUAUGGUUAGUUCCAUAAAAUUAACGUAAACCCUUACUUUAUUUUUAUAUAGAGUAGUUCCCCACUAUAUUGGAUUCUGAUAACAGGGACUAGGACAAGU